GAACAAAAGAGUGAACUACUAUCUAGGCAUGAUAUGAUUAAGAUUAAUAAUCAACCACAAGUAAAUAUUUGGAUGUAUCCAAAUAUUUUAUAAUGGUUAACAAUAAGCAAAGACUAAACACAAAUCAUAACAACUAUUAGCAAGCAUUUCUAUGGAAAAAGACAAACCAAUGCUAUCACAAAAAUAAUUGGCAAAUUAAAUAACCAGACACAUCAUACAAGGCAUGUGAGUAUAGAAUCGUGAAGAGGUCUUAUCUAAUAACAAAAGCAUUAAACAUAUGAGUGACCAUGAGAAGAUACUAAACUAGGACACUCUUUAUAAUAAAGGAAACAACUAAUAUCCAAAUGACCUCUAGCAUAAAUAUUACCACAACAUGAUUAACAACAAAGCAACAAUGUGCACUAAGCAUAUGAGAAGGACACAACUCAACUAUUGAAAGGUGAACUAUCCUAAUCAUGUGAUGAACUAAUGCAACAUGUGCCAAACACUCAUAACACUAACAUGAGACAAGUCAAGCAUAUAUGAGCAACACAAGUACAACUAUAACACAUGGAAUAUAAUAACACAUGAAAGAUAACUAGCAUGACUUCAUGUCUAGACUUAGGCAUACCACAAAUGCAACAGUAAGCUAAAGCAGAUAUGAUGCUAAGCAUGGAUGAUCAUGACACGAGAUACCAAAAUAUGCUAUUAAUAAAAUGCAACGUGUAACUAUGAGAUAACCUAGUUGACAACGAGUGACCUAAAGAUCAAGCACGACGUUAGCAUACAACAAUACCAUGCUAGUUAUGAUAUAUGAGAACAUGGAAGCAUACUAAGCACGUAGGAAAGUAUAGAACUAGAUCAUCUCAUCAACCAAAUCAGCAUGUGUUAUAGAAGCAUGAAUAACAAGAUGACAUGCAUUUCUAUGUAGUCAUCAUACACUUGCAAAUAUAUAAAAGGUACACAACUAAGCAUCAUACAACACACAGAUUGGUACACACACGCGUUAUGCAAUGAAGUUGUAUAAUCGAUCAUCAUGACAUGGUAUUGAUAAGGCAAGAAAUUCCUAAAUAAAAGAAUGUAUGGUAUCAACAAAUCACUAUGAUAUAUCUACCAAGUAAACAUUAACCAAAUGUAUGAACAUAACGUACAAACUACCAAUGAUAUAACACAUGGUAGGCAUACAACCAAAUAUGCCUUCUACUUGAGUAAAUAUUAAUAUGACAUGUCAAUCAACUAAGCAUGCAUAGCUACUAUCCUAGGUAAAUAUAACACGUUUGCUAAUUACCAAGAAACAAUAAACUGAACUCUAUGUCACAAUGAAUAAAUUCUAUAUAAAAUGCAAAUAUAACAAUGACAUAAAGCAACUAUCCAUGCAAUACUAAACAAUAAACAUCUAUAAAAUCGCGUUAACAAUUUUGCUACUAAAAUAACACAUAAAACAUGACAUGUCACACAACUUAGGAAAGUGAGAAAGUGAUCUUGAACCACGCAUGAUGUGAUAGAUAAUUAAAAUGCUAAUAGAGUGCCUACAACAAGUAAUUCAUCACAACCAUGGCUAUGUUCUAAGUUAACAUGCCAAUUCAAGACAACUACUAUAAAGAAACUAAACAACAAAAUAAUAGAUUGACGGACCACUAUCAUAGGCAUGACAUGAUUUUGAAUAUAUAAAACACACAUGCUACAUGGAUGUAAAUGAAUAUAGAAAAUAUAUCUAAGAUAUAUUCAUGCUAAACAAAAUAAAUAAUCAAAACAUUAAAUAUUCCAUUAUUCGAUACAUAAAGCAAAGUUUAGAAUAAUUCCACAUAAAUAUAACCAUGUCGAGCGUUCACCAAUUAUUGUACGCUCGCAAACAAUAAGUAUCAAACAUAACCAAAAUAAUGAUAAUAAGAUUACACUAAUAAUGCUCCAAAUCUAAUUAAAAUAAUAACACACGCUAAUCAUGUACGAGGGAUGAUAACUAAUGCACCAAUCAACUCCUACAUAAGGAAAUAACUCGAAGGAACUAAUAGAAAGGCAUAUCAUACUUUUAGAUGAUGCACAAAGUUAUCUACACGAAAUGCUACAAAAAAAAUAAAAUGCACCUUCAAAUCAAUCGAGUAAACCAUUUGAUACUCCUAGGCAUAACGAGAGACAUAGAAAUAACAUACCAAUAGAAAAGUUUUACCAACACAAAACCUAUUUGGAUUCCAUACAAAAAACGACUAAGAUUAUAUCUCUUCUACCGAUCACAAGAUAGAACCCACAGUCUAACCCCAUCACUGGAUUUCUACGGUCAUAUGGAGAAUUUUAUCUAUUGGGCUCAAAGUCAUAUGAUGAACAAAACUAAAGAAUUAUGCCUAUGCCAUCGAAUCGAAUUCGGUUUUGGACACACACGACCAACGACAGAGAUAGGUUGAAUCAUGAUGUCUACGGGAUGCACUGGGUGAUGACAAGUAAGCAUGCAAAAGGAAUUUGAUAGAGGCUCACCGAGUUUGAUGGAACAGUGCGACGAACUUGAUGAAUAGUGUACGCGGACAUGCAGAAUUCUUCGUGUGUUCUUGACGGAUCGCGUUCCUUCUUCCCUGAAUGGAAUCAUGGUGUCGAGGGGAACCUUCUGGUGCAAGGGCAUGGAUGGGGAGGGCCUGCAUCAACGGGAUGGAGAAUUGGUGUCCAUGGUGCAUCAUUCUUUGGACAGAGUUUCUGGGGACAGAGAGGAAGGGAGAAGGCUGGGUGUCACGAGAAUUGGAAAAGGAGGUGGAGGCGCAUAGCAUGGUGCCUGCAGUUUUGGAAAGGAAUGAGAUUUAAGGGAAGUUAGAGGAGGGUAUGUUUCUCUUCUGUACGUUACGUUUCUAGUCUCUGUAGAUUGUGAACGUAUAGAGGAAGGAAAGAAGAGGAGGCGUGAGAGGAAUAGGAAGGGAGGAGGCAUUAAAGGAAGGUGUAGAGUUUCUAUGUGUGUACGUAGGUGGCAGUUGAGAUUUCAUCUUCUGUGAGUUGUGAACGUACAAGGAGGAGAGGAGUUCGUUGGUUGGGAGAGAUGGGCCACUUCGGCUAGGCCCAUGGGGAAGAAAAAAAUAGAGAAGGAGUGGUUGGCUAGGAAACGGAGAAAAACAAAAUAAAAACAAAAAGAAGAUAUGGGUUUGGCCCAAUUCGGUUGGGAGGAAAAAUGUAGGAUGCGCACACACGGAAGAGAGAAGAUGCUGGGUUGGAAUUCUGUAUAGAGUAUGACAACAAGAAAAAGAAAAUCUAGAAAGAAAUUAAAAGCUUGAAUACAUAUCAAAUGAACUGAGAUAUCCAAGAAAGUGUAGACUCGCAUAUUUAAAUAUGCCGAAGAAAAAUUUAAAAACCAGUUAAAACAAAAGAUCAAAACAC
RNAcentral lists this long non-coding RNA (3330 nucleotides) under Triticum aestivum (bread wheat). Its description in RNAcentral is "long non-coding RNA (TAES_LNC010154)". The record is from RNAcentral. Lineage: Eukaryota; Viridiplantae; Streptophyta; Magnoliopsida; Poales; Poaceae.